Molecule: non-coding RNA, 547 nt
Organism: Megalopta genalis
Lineage: Eukaryota; Metazoa; Arthropoda; Insecta; Hymenoptera; Halictidae
Source: RefSeq, a predicted model, not a curated record
CCACCCAGUAAAAUAUUUCAAAACGCUGGCUAUAGACGUAGUCAUAAUAAAGGAUAAAACCUGUAAAAAAAGUAGUAAACACGUGAUCUUAAAAUUUCAAUGUCAUCAUUUUAAUUUACGAAAUCACUGAGUUAACCUGAGAUCGUCGACACUGGUUUUGUUCAGUUUUAUUACAAGGCUGGUCAUCUCUGUUUCGGCUUCUUUCCAUAUUCAGGAAUAAGGUUCGAAAGAACGAAAUUGUUCUAUUACGAAAAGGCGAAAUUGCUAUUACUUAAGCAACCUGUGACUGCGCGACCCAUACCAAUUACCACCAUAAAAAGAGGACACGCUCAUGCGGUUGCUCUCCGCAUCGUACCAUGACCAGGGUUUUUUCGCGGUCAUGAACCUCCUGACCACCCUCCAUAUAUGCGAAAACUGUGGCAGCAGCGCACGAAUCACAUUCAUCCUUGUACCUGAUUGGAUGUUCCUGAGCUUCGGAAACUAAUAUUUGAGGCGACAAAUUUGUAUUUUACAGAAGGAACGAAAUAAAUCUUAGUAAAUGCAACAA